This 201-nucleotide long non-coding RNA is filed under the name Hordeum vulgare. Its description in RNAcentral is "long non-coding RNA (HVUL_LNC004495)". Lineage: Eukaryota; Viridiplantae; Streptophyta; Magnoliopsida; Poales; Poaceae. The record is from RNAcentral.
CUUUGUGGUGUUAUAAUCAGGGGCGCGUGAUGGUUAAAUCCUACCAACCUCAUCCCUAGGGGCAUGUGUGGAGUGCUUUGCAUUGGGAGAGCUAAUAAAAUCUUGCAAUAAGUAUGUGAGUUCUUUAUCGCCAUGGCUCCUGCCCUCCGGGAGCCAUGGCACUCAUGGACCAGAGGGGAAACUAUCCUCUCACCUAGGGAG